UUGGUCAUAAAUUUGUUCAUUAAUUUCAACUCAUAAAAGUAAGUAGAGGGAUUUAAGAACGCAAUCAUAAAUUGAAGUGAAAAAUUAUAGAAUUUCGGGAAAUAAUGUGGAGGCGGGUGAAUUAGGAAGUUCUUCGCUCAUUCAUUACGUGAUAUAUAUAUAUAUAUUCAAUUGCAUGUGGAUUCAUCGUCCUAAGGAUAUAUAAAAUACAAAUUUAUGAGCAGAAGCUGGAUCUGUGCAGAAUCUCCUCGUUUUACUCUACUCUUCUACUCAAUCGAACCCUUUCAUACUCAUUUCUGAAUCAAGAACUUGAAGCUGUAAUCAAAUCAAUCCGUUCAUAGUCGCUCCCUAAUUUCUGAGUUUUUUUGUUCUUUUCACUCUUCCAGUUUUCGAGUUGAGAAUGUUGAAGCCCUUGCACCGAGGUGUUUCUGGGACAAGGAUCUGUGAGGGUAGCCGUGACUUAAAUGGAACUGAGAAGGGAGAUUUUGAUGCGAAGUGUUCUUCAUAUGAAAGUGAUGAAAUGUUUAGGUUCUUGUCUGAUUCGUUCGUAUUGGGAACUCUAAGAAAUCAGCACAAGUUAGCUAAGCAAAUGUUGAGCUUCAGCAUACCGUUGAUUGUUCUUGUAAUCUUCUUUGGAUUGUUUUGGUGGUCUGUAUCUAUUUCGACUUCAUCCAGACUUCACGCAGCUCGUAGUUACGAUAAAAUUCAAGAACAGGUUGUUUUAUACCUUUCUGAGAUUGGGGAGCUUGCUCUUGGUCCUUCAAGGUUAAGAGAAUUGGAGUUCUGUUCCCAAGAUUUUGAAAACCAUGUUCCUUGUUUUAGUGCUCGAGAAAACCCUGACUCGGGAUAUGCCGAUCGUUCUUGUGAGCUAGAACCAAAGCAAAAUUGCAUUGUACCACCUCCUGUGAAGUACAGGGUUCCUCUUAGAUGGCCCAUUGGAAGAGAUGUUAUCUGGUUUGCGAACGUAAAAAUGACUGCUGACGAAGUCCUCUCUUCGGGAAGCAUGACCAAGAGGAUGAUGAUGAUGGAGGAAGAGCAGAUAUCGUUCCGUUCUGAUUCUUCGAUGUUUGAAGGGAUAGAAGAUUACUCCCACCAAAUUGCAGGGAUGAUUGGGCUGAGAAAUGUAUCUAAUUUCAUACAAGCUGGAAUAAGAACUAUUCUCGAUAUUGGAUGUGGUUAUGGUAGCUUUGGAGCUCAUCUCUUUUCGAAACAGCUUUUGACCAUGUGCAUAGCAAAUUAUGAAACAUCUGGCAGUCAAGUUCAACUAACGCUCGAGCGAGGUCUUCCUGCAAUGCUAAGUUCUUUUGCUUCAAAACAGUUGCCAUAUCCAUCUUUCUCCUUCGAUAUGGUUCAUUGUGCGCAAUGUGGUAUCGAUUGGGACCUAAAAGAUGGUAUCUAUUUAACUGAAGUCGACAGAGUCUUAAGGCCCGGGGGAUAUUUUGUUUGGAUGUCGCCAAUUGCCGAUGCUCAGAGCUUCCUCCACAACAAAACCAAUCUGAAAAAGUGGAACGCUGUUCGUGAUUUUACCGAGAGCCUCUGCUGGGAAAUGCUGUCCCAACUAGACAAAACUGUGGUAUGGAAAAAAACUAGCAAAUCAAGCUGUUAUCAUUCGAGGAAGCCUAGUUCGGGUCCUCCACUAUGUCGUAAAGGCCAUUAUGUCGAAUCUCCAUAUUAUCGUCCCCUCGAAAACUGCAUUGGUGGAACAAAAAGCUCUAGGUGGUUUCCUGUUGAACAGAGGACAUGGCCUUCUAGAGCUAACUUAAACAAGAGUAAACUUGCAGUUUAUGGAGUACAAUGGGAAGAUUUUGCUGAAGAUUCCAUGAAAUGGAAAAUGGCCGUCAAUGAUUAUUGGCCUCUUAUGUCGCCACUGAUAUUCUCAGAUCACCCGAAGAGACCCGGCGAUGACGAUCCUUCGCCCCCAUAUAACAUGCUGCGUAACGUGCUAGACAUGAAUGCUCAGUUUGGAGGAUUCAAUUCAGCCCUGUUGGAAUCUGGCAAGGAUGUAUGGGUCAUGAAUGCAGUUCCAACAACUGGAUCUAAUCACCUUCCAUUGAUCGUCGACAGAGGCUUUCUUGGUGUAUUACACGAUUGGUGUGAAGCAUUCCCUACAUAUCCUAGAACAUACGAUAUGGUGCACGCAGACGGUAUUUUAUCCCUUGAAGCUUUACGACAUCGUUGCAGUAUGCUUGAUCUGUUAUCCGAGAUCGAUCGGUUACUUCGUCCUGAGGGUUGGGUGAUAAUACACGACACCACGAACCUCAUCGAAUCGGCAAGAAUGUUAACGACACAGCUGAAAUGGGAUGCUCGAGUUAUCGAGAGCGAUAGCAACAUGGACAAAAGAUUGCUCGUCUGCCAGAAACCGUUCUUAAAGAAGAUAGCGAAUUCGUAACGAAUUUCGAUCAAGGAAAAUUAGGUUGCGGAAUGAAUUCGUCUUGCAGUUCAUAGAUUAACCAAAUUGUAGAAAAAAGGUAUUUAUCGGCAACUCCGAUUGGAAGACGACUUUAAAAUAACGGUAGGAGAAGAAGGUGACGUCGUUGAAGUAGAAAGUUCCAAGAAUCAUAGCUCCCGCUUCUUCUAUGCCAGCUAUAUUUUCUAUGCAUUCAUCAGGUCCAGCUACUUGUACUCGCUGCCAACUUGCUAGAAGCACCUCCGCCUCUGUAGCUACCGAAUCCCCUGGUCAAUAGCUUGACUAAUGCACUAAUGUCCUGAUUCGAGAUUUGAAAAUGAGAAACUGUGUUAUCAUCGUAUUUAAUUUUAUGUUCUAACAUA
Non-coding RNA from Cucurbita pepo subsp. pepo (vegetable marrow), 2769 nucleotides. The record is from RefSeq and is a predicted model, not a curated record. NCBI's taxonomy places the organism in Eukaryota, Viridiplantae, Streptophyta, Magnoliopsida, Cucurbitales, Cucurbitaceae.